AUGCAGGCAACAUGGUAUCAACCGCUGGCCUUCUCGAAAAAUCAAGAAAGUUAAUCACUCUUUGAGGAAACUCCAACUAGUAGUCAACUCCAUCCAUGGUGCAGAGGGCCUCAUUCAGAUGGAUUCCUUUUGUAAAGGCUUCCAAGAAUUGAGCUCACCAAAUUUUUUUGGGAAGGAUCCUUUUUCAUCGUCCAAGAUUUGUGAAAAUUCCAAAAGAUUAAAACCCCAACCAGAGGGGGGCCUGCUCAGUCCCAGAGGCACAGAUUCAAAAUCUCAGUCCUCUUCGAGCAGUCAGAAUUCUGGUUCAGCCAUCUAUUGUUCCAAUGAAGAAAAGCAGCUUACCACCAACAAUGGCCUGAAUACUGGAUCUUCUUUAGCAAUAGAAGACCCUGUCCUGGAGCUGAGGAGAACUUAUAGUAAAGCAGAACUGUAUUCCCUGAAUCAGGAGGAACCAAAGAUUUUACGACCCUUACCAAAAGCUCCUGGCCAUAGUUUACGAGAUGGUGUGGUCUUCAGAGUCAAAGCCACAUAUGGAGAAGAAAAUGUACGAUUCGGCUUCCUGCCAAAUUGGGGUUUCAAGGACUUGCAGCAAGAGAUUGCAAAGCGUUUCAAAAUAGAUGAUUUCAGCAGAAUUGAUCUCAAGUAUUUAGACAUUGAUCAUGAGCCUGUUCUUUUGACCUGUGAUGCUGAUCUUGAGGAGUGU
This 703-nucleotide unclassified non-coding RNA is filed under the name Hevea brasiliensis (rubber tree). The record is from RNAcentral. Lineage: Eukaryota; Viridiplantae; Streptophyta; Magnoliopsida; Malpighiales; Euphorbiaceae.